AGCAAUGGCGCGGUACUGUGAUGUUGAAAUGUCAACUGGACGUGCGCAAAUAUUUCCACGAUAACACGUCUUCUGUUUCCUUGGAUGUGUCAGGACGCAGUGCGCCAUCCAAGUUAUUGUGAUCGAACCCACUCUGUAGGACCUUGCAUGAGAAAGCAAUGAAGCCAAGAUGAGCACCGUCAAGCUAAGUAAACUGUGAUGCGCCACCUUCGUCAAAUCCAUGCAAAGUCUAUCGUAAACAUGUAGAGUGUUGCUCCGUCUUGCUUGUAGGCUGGAGGAAUAUGCGAACGUAGCACAUGCAAAGAAGAUACCAACACCUGUCACCAAGAAGGACGACUGAGUCCAAGCAAAAGUCUUUGAACUUGAACUCCUUCUAUACAGUAAUUAAUCUUAUCUGUGGGGCCUGGCCCUGUCAGGGUGCUUUCUUGGCAGCUUUUUGCCAGUGCCUCCAAUCACAACUGUACCAUCACUACUCCCGUGACACUAAACACAUUCCAAACCUAAAUAUGCCUCAAGCUCACUAUCACAUAAUGGAAGACUGGCCAUUGCCUAAUUAACCGAAUGCAGUAAGGAUUGGAUUUGUGGAUACCACACGACUUGAGCGUAGUCGAUGACCAAGCAUAUAAAUCCUUUGUAAGAGCUUUUGUAGUGCUGUCAGUGGUGCCAGUAGUUCAUUUCAGGUCAUUUGUGAUUGUUGCACCAGGAUGCUUGUGAUGUGAGACCUAAGUGAGAACUGAACCCACAGAAGCACAAUUGAACAACAACGGUGUUUGUCUUUUGGCAAAUGGUUUGGUUGGUAGUUGUUCGACUUUGAUACAUGUGACGCUUUGAUGUGUUUAAUAUACAGGGUGUCCCAGGAAACGUGUCAUUGAAUUAUAAUAAAAAAGCUACACCACCUAGAAUCAUGCGGUCAACGGCAUUUGCUCUUAUUAGGUUUUAGCCACCUCCUGAUGCGAGUGUCGUGUAACGUAAGUGUAACUCAUUGUUCAGAUUUGGGUAAAUUUGGCACGCUCUUUACAUUGGUGGGGUAAAAAAGUGACCUUUACUUGGCAGAUUUCCGAGUCGCAAAAAUUUGCAUUAUUACACUGACUAUUUAUUAUGACAUACACAUCAGGAGGUGGGAAAAACCUAGUAAGAACAAAUGCCGUUGACCGCAUGAUUCUAGAUGGUGUAAUUUUUCUAUUAUAAUUCAGUGGCACAUUUUCUGGGACACCCUGUAUGUGCAUAAUACAGUCAUGUCUCGAUUAUCCGGACACCUCGGUAGUCGUGUCUGUUCGUCUGGAUAACGAAUUUCUGGAUAACCGAAGCAAGCGAAAUUCCGCGAAAACCCGAAAAGUGUGGGAGACAUCUUUAUAGCUCCAGGAAAGGGGACAAGGAAAAGAUGGAUACUUCAAAAACCCAUACAAAGUGAGCUGCUCGAAAUUAGUAGGAGCCACGGUACCCGCUGCACCACCCUACUGUUCAAAGGAGGGGAAUGUCCCAGAAAGUUGGUCACGCGCACAUGUUUUUGUAUUUUUGGAAAUGUCUUUGGCAUAGGUCAAAAGACAGGAGAUGCUUUCGGACGGCCUCGACAUUGAUGUUCACAUGUAGAUCUCUUUCGCACGGUGGAUACAGGGCACCUCUUCUUACCGCGUAUCGUCUACCAUCUCUACCGUGUGCUCGCGCACACACCAAAAGGGAGUGACAGCUGAAGAAAUGGGGUCAAACAGUACAGAAUGCCCCAGCGAGAUGUGACCCAUUUCUGGAAUAAUGCGAACACAGCACAUGCCACGAACAGAGGACGUUGACACUUUUCCAUACAAGCGAAUCAGAAUGACCUAGGUCCUGGAAGAUUGGUCCCCGUGCCUGCUGUCCGGAUACGGAUAACGAAUUCCGGAUAACACAUACAAAAUCCAAUGGUAGCAGGUUCGUUCCCGGUAAUGUAGUCUGGAUAACGAGUUUUCUGGAUAUCUGAACUCCGGAUAAGCGAGGCAUGACUUAUUUGACAUUAGUUAAUUUACUUGGCAUUUCUCAACGACCUUGACAUAGCUACCAUGAUUUUCCUUGUCACAGUCCAUAGUAACAUAUAUAGCAGUGUAUUUGUAGGUGGAUUUGUGUGUUCAUGUUAGGACGGUGCUCAGCCAUUUGUGGUGUGCAGUAAUUUGUGUAACUGUGUGUAGCGUUUGUAUCAGUCUUCGUGGUUGUAUUCUCUCACACUUAAAGUUUUUCAUCAUGUACUCACCCUGCAUUAUCUACUAGAACUCACUAAUAUUUGCUUGUGAGACGCGACGAACAAAGCAAGGAAUACACACACACGAUGUCGCACUUUCAGCCGAGUACAUAAAUUAAAGUACAAUAAAGUACAAAACAUGAAACAUGAAACAUCUACUGGGAUCUUGUACAGAUCCGCAGAUACACAUGUUCAACAAGUAGUAGAAACGGUUAAUAUAGAGAAGAAGAAAGACUCUUUUUAACUUCCCUACUGCCAAGUUUAUUAAAAAAACAAGGUAACCUGAUUCUACUCAGUACAUGGUUUGGGUAAUAGGCAGAAAGAACUGUGGGAGGGGAUGCUCAAACAGGUUUAUUUAGAUCGAGUUUCACGUUUCGUACUAUUGUAUUUUCAUUUGUGUACUAAAUGGUCCAAAGUAAGUAUGACAUCGUCUAUGCGUCUUCCUUGUUUUGUUUGUCGCUUCUCACAAGCUAUGUACCAACCUGCCCAGUAUUUAUUGUUGUCCCUAAUGUCUUCAGCUUUCCCCUUCUUUUGUGGGAAAUUUUAUCGCAGAACGAUGCUACCAAUCAAAUUGGUUCCUUGUAAAAUUCACUGAAAUAUGCUUUGCGUAUGCUGUCCUUUUAGAUAUUAUAUUCUCACCCAGCUGAGACUGUGCAUGAGUCACUUCAAGACAUAUCCCAACACACGUGGCUAGUUAGUUCGCAAUCAUUCAUUUAGUUUGAUCAAUGUUGAUGUAUUCGAGAUUGUAUUCUCUCUCAUUUGUGGUUUUUCCGUCACAUGCUCGCCCUACUUUAUGUGAUGCCUGCUGGUCCUUAACGAAUUCACCAUAUCUAAAUAAAUAAAUGUGGUUAAUUACACCACGAAGAAGACCGAGAGAUACGGACAGAGAAGACGACACACGCAAGUUCUCUGAGGACUUGCAUGUGUGUCCGUGUCCCUCGGUCUUCUUCGUGGAUCUACACCAGCUAGCCUGCACCCUUUCCCUUGUUUCAUUUCAUUGUGCUGUAUGCCGAAGUGCUGGGCAAAAAAGAAUAAUUUUUUUCGUAAGUUGUAGUGGACGAGGUAGAAGUCCUUCAACAAACUUCAGUGGCGAGUUCUGCGGCCGAAAGAGCAAGAGCCCUGGCCACCAUUCUUAUUGGUUCUCGUUAGAUAAAACUGUUGCAAGGAUGGCAUGAGUGCCAGUACUGUUCAUACGUAUCUUCAAACACGGGCCGAUGAGACAGCACGAGCGCGUGCAAACAGGAGAGAGACCAUUCCUGUGCAGUGUUUGUGAUGCUUGCUUUAAUCAGAAAAUUGAUCUCGUGGGUCACAUGUGAAGUCACACUGGCGAGAGACCAUUCUGCUGCCAUACCUUUGGAUCAACUUUUUCGCUCAAGCAUCACCUCCAGAGACUUGCCAAAACUCAUGCUGUGCGAAACACAGUGUAGCGGAGUAGUACACCAUGACUUUUGGAUGUUUGGUUUCUUCUGACCCCUUUCAGCAAGUCUCUUUCCCUGAAGUUUGCUCCAAUAUUGUGUGCUGUAAGCAGUGGUGCUCAUGGAAGAACUCUUAGCUUGGUGACUGCUCAUCUAGAUACAAAUGCUUUCCUGCAAAUUUUAUUGCCUACAAAUUCAAAAGCAAAAAGGUGGUACAGCUUGGUCGGUCUGAUUCAUCAAAUGCACAGUGCAAACCAUUGAAAUGUGUGUUCCCUUCACAAAGCGGCCACAUAUUAUUAUACCUGAAGGGCCUUAUUGGAGCAGAAUAUUUGUGUUUUUGCUUAUUUCAGUAGAGGAUGGCUAUGUUUCUACAAUGUUUUUGGCUGUUUUUGUGUUUACAUAGUGUAAAGUGUGCGAGUGUGAGACCAUACAGUAGUGUCGGUCCCUCGACAGGAUAGAAUGAGGCUCGUGCCAAUAUGAUAUGUCAUUACGUGAACCCCUUAUGUGCCCAUCAGUCAUCCUUAUGUAGGGGUGGGUGCAGAGCCGAAGCUGCGGGUAGGGACCAGGAGGCUCUGUGGAAUGAGCUGGGGAAGUACUAGAAAAGGACACUAAAUUAUUGAAGUAUGUCUUUUAUUAUAGAAAUGCUGGCAACUUCUCUGUGUCCUCUGAUGAGUGUACAGAAUAUGACACAUUUGAGGAACGUCAUGCAUGACGUUCCUGCAGUAUACCACAUCAUACAAUUUUCCGUGACAUAUCACAUCAGGGGUUUCUUGUUUAAGUUUAAGUUAUGGAAAUUCGGCACGUGUUUAUUGGAAUCUAAUUUGCUGUUGAAAAAGUAAUAUUUUUUUGUCUAAUAUUUAUGUUAGAAAAUAAAUUCCUGGAUUUAGGUACUUAUACUAAAUUACGGGGUAAGAGUCGCGAGUUAGCUUUCCUAGCUAAGAGGUACACCACAGCCAAACAAAAGAUAAUUAAUAAUUUGUUUACACUGCACAUGAAGCAAAAUCUCACUUCACAAAUGUUGGACCUUUUAGUACACGCAGGCACACUUCAUCGUGCUGUCACAGAUAUAUCCGAAACACAGUUCACAAAAUAAGGAGAUAUGUAGUAGAGCACUGCUCGGGUUUCAGCCACCGGGCCCGGGCCGGGUACGGGCUUGACAACGCCAGCCACGGUCGUGCAUGUACGCGAACAUAUUUCACAAGACUGGACGGCUGAAUUUUCACGUUACUUUUUUUCACCAUUGGGUAUGGGAUAUCAGGAAUUCUCAUCUGAGAACUAUCACUUUUUUACAUGUGAUCAUGCUUAUUUCGUGAAUGGGUCUGGAUUUCACGCAUGCACUCAAACACAAUUGGGGACGAUUGUUGUGGCGGACGCGCUGAGGGUCUGUUAUAUUUCGUUUUUAUGAGAGUCCUGCAAGAGGGUCGGUUAGGUUAAGUGUUCUGACAUAUAUAUCGUUCGCGUGAGAGUUCAAGAAAGAGGAACUAACACCAGAGCAUGUGCAAUAAGCGGCGAUGAGUCUCUCUUGCACCGCAAUAUACAUACGCCCACGCGCCGCUGCGCGCUGCAUUCUAAAGCAAGCAAGCACCAAGCACAGAGCGGCUUGCCGGCAGAGAAAGUCGCUGCUGCAUUCGAGUGUGCCUCCUGACUCUCCACCAAUUAGCUGCGUCCUUUUCCUUGCUGCACUGUGCUCUUUAGUAAAUCUAAAUAUACCUCAGAACCUCGAGAACAGAUAGAGCAGAGGCGGGCUGGGGCUAGGCCUGAUCAGAGAAACAGUUGGGUACGGGCUGGGCCCGGGCCGGCGGAGUUGGGCUUGGGCCGGGCACGGGCCUGAAAAUUAGGCCCGUGCAGUGCUCUAAUAUGUAGUAUACUUUGAUUUUUCCAGAAACUGCCAAACCUUGCAAAAAGUAAUUUGACAGAUGGUUUUUUGGCAUUUUUCGGCAAGUGCCGAAGACCAGAAACCCUAAUUAUAUCUAAAAGCUAGGAGAUCGACAAGUACACAUCUUCCUACGAAUGGCAUGCAAAAGAAUUUUGACUCAUCACACGCUGUAUUAAAGACGAAGGAGGGGAAAGCUGCCAAGGGUUUCUAAUUGUAGAAAACAGUUGUGGGUCUGGUUGGAAGUCAUGGCGCCUUCCACCAUGUGUGGCUCAGCAGGUUAUAUGGGAUGUGGGGGAAAACAGGCAUGUUAAAUGCUGACAAUGAUUUUGUGGAAACUCAAACAAUAAGAAAUAAGCAGUUACUCUGAAGCUUCCACCAUGAAGCAAGCUACCCCCAUGCCAUGAAGCAAGCUGCCCACCAUGAAGCUUGCUUCAUGGUGGGCUUCAUUCAGGGCUUACUUCAGGCAUUUCAAUGUUAAGGAAAAAGUUCGACAGUGUUGUUCAUGGGCACUAAUAAAUAGAUACCCGAGACAACAAUUGACACAGUAAAGAACAGUUUGUGGUGCAUUAACGUGCAUUAAGUGUAGUGUAUGCUUGACUCGUGUAAAUACAGGAGGAGGAGUUUGUAUGUGUAUAGGAGUAGCUGUAGCUUUCUUUAGCUGUGGUCAGCACAUCAGCACCAAGAAAUUUGUUAGAAAUGUGUGCUAAAAGAGUUCUUUCAGUUGGACAUUAAAAUGAAAAUGCAACUGAUACAAAUUCUUUGCAGAGGACAGUUUGUCGUCAGAGUGCAGGGAGAUCUUCUGCAUUUGAGAUGCCUUCUUUAGCUGCAACUCUGAAAGAGACAAGCAUUAACCUAAUUAAAUCCGCAUUAAGUCUGCAAAGUGCCAUGGCGAGGGUCUCGCGUGCAUACUCUGACCCGAGCCCCUGUCCUGGUUACCUUCGCAAUGACGCUUUAUAUGUCCAUGCACCUCACCAAACUUGCAAUUUUUUCUCCACAUCUAAUCAAAUACUCUGAACCUUACCAAAAUUGGUAAUUGAACAGUGGGCUCAUAGGCAUGUUAGCUCUGCACAUGUUCAGAUGUACAGUUUCGUACCUGUGAGCAGCGUUUGCACAUUGCUUUUUUGCUUCCAGGGCUGGCCUUCACGAUGACGAGCCGCAGGAUAAGCAGGAUCCACCGCUGCAGCUACUGCCCGUACAUGUCCACAGUGGCCAGCGCCAUCAAGAAGCAUGAGCGAACGCACACAGGGGAGCGCCCCUUUUGCUGCAAUGUGUGCCCGGCAGCUUUUGCCCAGAAGAACAACCUGGUGAUGCACUUCCGAACUCACACUGGCGAGAGGCCCUUCCAAUGCUCAGUGUGCUCCAGAAGAUUCAGCAGAAAUACUCUUCUGUCACGACACAGACGAACACACAAUAACGAGUUCCAAUCCUAACGAGGGGCUGAGAAUUAAGGACCUGCUUCACUUGAAAAGUAGUGUUGUGCACAGCUUUUACCAGGGAACACGAAUUUCACAUGAAGUGUGGCAUCGGGUCGCACACAAAAAUUAGGUCUUUCAUGGUGUCUGUCGAGAAAGCUGCAUCAACUGAACAUUACAAUAGUUGCAUUAGAAUCAGUAGGCUGUUUACAAAUUUUCUUUGGACAUGAAUGAGUUCUGAUGGUGGUAGUACUUGUGCAUCACCAUUCAUUUCAUUUAUUUACCUGAAGACCUCAGUAUCUUAUUCUUUUUUUCUUGCCUGCUUCAUUCUCUUGGCACGAGUUGCAAAUACAGGGUAUCUGAUGACAAGGUGUCAUUUAAUUCUUUAAAAUAGGCUGCGUGACAAAAAUUUGAAACAUCCUAAGUGAAACUCAUAAAUGUUUGUGUCAUGCAUUAAUUAACCUAAUUUUGUUAAUUCAACUUCAAAAUUACCCAAGCUAGGAUAGCAGUUUUUGUCAUGAAUUUGUAUGCCUGUUGCUAUAGCACACUAGUCUAAUCACGUGGUCUUUCAUAAUAUUUCCACAGAAAUUGGGCACCUAAAAAUUUAUUGCUUGGGUAAGCAUACUCGCUGAAAUUUGCAUUUGUGGGAAUGUUGACUCACCCAAAAAACCAUUCCUUCCUGUGCAGAAGAAAGCACCACACUGCUAUCAGACCUUUCGUCCUUAUCAAUAUGUCUGUCGUCAUUCAGCACCCACUAAUAAUGGUGGGUGGCACAGCAAGCCCUUGAACAAAAUUAAACUCUGUUGCUCUCAUUGCCAGCAUUUUUGCACAUGCAAAUGUCCGUUAGUGUACUUCGCCCAAGACAGACUGGAUUUUCUGUUACGAAGCUGUGGUACAAAUCUUACGCAAAACCCUGUGGUUUCAAUUGGAAUACAGCGCUAUGGACGUACUGCUAUGGACAGCCAAAUUUGUGAGGAAAAGUGGUACCCUAGCUUUGCUAAUUUCGAGUUCAAUUUUUAAGAUGUACUCAAUUCCCUAUUUUACAAGAAUCAAACAAUACUACCUCGUCAGACACCAAAUUCGCCCUCCAAUUAAACGUAGCUUUAAUGCAGCAGGCGCUAGAAUGACAAACCUAGCAUGUUCAUAGUCUCUCACUGCCAUCUGCGUUCAUGCAUUUCCACUUAAGGAGUGGUACCCACGUCCAUCGUUGAAAUAAAAUGGUAAAGAACCCCAGUACCUUGUUAUUCGACUGGGUAGCCUACUUAUGGGAUAACCUUUUUAUCUGAUGUAGGUUGCAGUGAACGGAAGGGAAGAGUACUGCAAAAAACUUUUUUUGUUACCAUAAUGUGGCCAGAGAAUGUUUCCUUUCACCCAACUAAUAUGAUUGGUGAAUGUAAAAUGGCUGUUCAUGUCCACUCCUUGGUUUGCUUAUGAUGUGUUUUGCCAAGGCAGACGCGCACCUUGACUAUCUGCGGAUAAGUCAAGGGUAUGUAAAUGCUGACUUUUGUAGGGUUUUGCAUAACAACACGAUUCCUUUACCAUAGAUGCCAUAUAUAUUAUGCAAUAGGUAUGUUACUCAUUUAUUGUAGGCCCUGGAUUCACUGUCCAGGCUUAUUCUUGGAGGCAGGCUUGGAGGAAAAUCCUCGGUUAUAACUGAACUCGAUUGGAACCCUCUCAUGAGUCUGCGGAGUGUGGUGCAGAAAGAUGUUGAGAGCACAUCGACAUACUUUUUUUUGAAGGGGUUGCGACACUUCUCCCAAAGCUAUGCAGGACAAGCACUGUCGUACAUGUCAUACAUUGUCGUAUGCAUUGAUGUGAAGCUACAUUCCAAGUUUUAGAACAAAGAGGGUAACAGACACAUCGAAAGUCGGUACCGCAAAUACCGAAGCUCUUGCAUCAUUGCAGGUGUCUCAGCCAGUAAGGCAGCGCGAGAGAGGUAACAUGCUUAGGAGUACCAAUGGGAACGGACAUAGCUACCAUGACUAUGACAUGUAGAAAAUUAAUGAAAUUAAUAUUUUUUCCAUAACUAUGACUAUGAACAUAAGUAUGACAUGUAGAAAAUUAAUGAAAUUAUUAUUUUCCUUGAUACUCUAGAUUGCAGUACAAUGUGUACAUGAUGUAAUAAAUUGCAUCUAUCAAAGUGUCACAACCCCUUUAAUGCAUUUGAGUCUCAAAUUAUGUUCCUUUUUUGACAAUAUAGUUCAACACACCCUGGAGAAUAAUGUAUGUUACAGGAAACAUAAUACAGCACAGAGGCCGUUCCAGAACAGAUUUGUAAGUUUGAAUCAUCAUCACCUCCUUAGCUGUUUCCUACCUGUGGAACACAGGUGUGCAUCAAUGAUUCUGCUGUAAUACCUUAUCUUGUUUGUAUACAUUGUUUGCCCUAUAUUAUUGUGAUCAUUGUCACCUCUUGAACUGUUGUUACUGGGCACGUGCAAAUAAUUAUUUUAAAACCGUACCGAAUAGACGCAUAACAGAAGAGAAUAUGAAGCAAAUUGUUGUAUAACUGUACUGGAUACACAUGUAGCACUUGAAUGGAUGCUUAUAAACAAGUGUAUGGCAUGUGCACGCCAUAUAUUUGUAUGGAUCAGGAUAUGAUGUAGCUGUCACUUUGUUUUAUGCCUACCUCUGUGCUGUUUUCGGCCUUGUGCAUGACGUGUGCAGUUCCAGAACUACGUAUUCAAGUGAAGAAACAUCAAAUCAAUUCGAAAUUCGAAUACAUUGUACUCCAUAUUCAUUUUGGAAAUUGAAUCGAUACAGAAUUAUUCACCUCACAAUUCAAAAAAAUUUGAAUAUGUAUUCACACAAACCUAGUUGUAACACAAAAGCAUCUUUGCAGAUGUCGGUUAGGUUUUGAGCACCACCUCAUAUUUUUUCAAUACGUGAAUUAAAGCAAUAACUGUUCUUUCAUAAGUAAAGUUAACUAUACCUCAGCAAAAGGAAUUGCUGUUGUUUCAUGAGUGUUUCACGUGAACCGCUGUUCUAUGAAUUCAACGACUUCGCUGAGCAUUCUUUAUGCCACGCAUUCGCAUUGUGUAUGUCGAAAAAGGUUCAGACAUUGUAGGAAUGUCUGAUGCCAUGCAGCUGAACAUUCUCCUAACAGCUUUUAUGCUGUGUCUAUUACGGGUACCCUGCAUCACGUGCUUUAAUCUCUCUCAAUAUUCAGUUCUAGCCUGACCUUCAGCACAGGCUGAACUGUAGGGCCUCAUUUCCUCGUCUUUCGGGAUGGUGGCACAUUGGGGAAUAUUUUGGAGGGACUUGAUUUUGCGGUACAUGUUCAUUGCACCGUGGGGCUCUUCUGGGUAUCACACGCACAUGGAGUCAGCGGGAGAAGCUAACAAAGGCAACUGAGCGGAUGCCUAUGCUUCCUGCAUCUUCGAUUCGCCCAGUUCAAAGUGUUUGGUUUCAGGGUCCUUACUAAGUCUGCCGGCGCAGGUAUUUAGGUCGAUGCGCAGCCGCCUUUUGUGCAGUCAUUCUUGUAUCUGCAUCGUGACAGUAAGGAUGGUGGCAGUUGCACUGUCUUUAUGCUGUGAAAUUUGCUGCCGCCAUGUCUGUACUGUGAUUACUUCGUCAUUUUGAAUGCAUGAACCUUGCCCGCAGUGCCGGUAUCUUCCUGUCAUUGCUACCAUUACUUUUAAAAAAGCGGUAAAAAUACACACGGCAAACACAACGAAUUAAAAUUUAACAAUAGACAUUGACGUUUUGGAGUUUAUGCAGACCCCCUUCAUCGGAGUAAAGCAGGAGGCGGUUACCCGGUUCUAUUUACGUAUGUAGCAAGGGGGCGUAGCAGUCGGGUAGUGGUCCGGGGUGCUUGUUCAAAGCAUUAUUUGUUCUUUUGAUGAACCAGGAUUCAAUUUGUUUGCGCACUCCCCAACGACUUUCACGUGCCAAAAUAACAGGGUUGUUAACACCAUUAUUUUGCGGGACUUUAAUUUUACGAAAGGAUGGUGGUCGUGAAAUAUGCAUAAAUGAAAUCCUCAUAAAAAUAACAUUUUUGAAAAAGAGAUUGUCUGUCUUGCUUAAAAUCACUUAUGCUCAACCCAUUUUGAGCCAUAUUGUAGCUGUGCACCGAUGUUCUACCAAGCUUUGCUUGACAGAGAACAUAACUAUGCAGCUGUUUCCUAAGUAGCUGUGAAAUUGCAUUGGAAAGCUACUUUUCUGUUGCAUAUGUGUGAUACAAGUGAUGCAAAUCACUGCCUGCAUAUUAUUGGACUGUAAAUUCCGCCAGUAAUACCUGUCUGCAGCUAGUAAAGCCCACAUUUGUAUAACUAACUUGUUGUUGUGUUACUGUUGUAUCUCCAGCAUUAUUAGUGACCUCUUACAUUUUGGAAGCAUGAGUAAUGUCAAUGGGAGCAAGCAUGUACUCUGUUUGAUAUUCUAGCUUUCAUCUUAACCUAAUCCUACCGUUCCCUCACAGCAAAGGGGAGCAUUAUACACAGCAUUACAUCGAACAUAUUUUUGACCUGAAAUGAUUGGUAUUGCAUCCUGUAAUUCUAAGGGCUGUUAUGUUCAGGGUUGCUUCCAACUUGUGCCACCAUAAAAUCAGGCCUUUCAAAUAAUUCUGGAAAAGACCUACCACUGAGAAGAAUCUCUAUCAGGUGUUCUUAACAUUGGUAUCACUUGAACUCCUUUUACCAAUCCAAAAGGGGAGGUGACCUGUGAAUGCUGAAAACUUGUUAGGGCACCAUUAUAACAGCAAAAUAUAUUGUUUAAUUUAAAGUUUAUGUGUAUUUACUGCAAUUUACCUGCACAGUGAAAGAUGUUUCACCUUCAAGUGUGCCACAGUUUUGUGAUGUUUCCUACCUUUCUUGCAAAUUUUGCAGAGUUCCCGUUUGAAAUCCACAUAUAAUGAAUCAGGUGUCAGCACAAGACACUUUUCAUGCCACAGUUUUUUUUUUUUUUUUUUUUUUUUUUUUUCAUUUGCUGCAAAGGCAAUGAGGUACUUAGGGUGUUUGUAAGAAAAGAAAAUUAUUGAACACUCCACAACUCAUCAGGUCAUCGCCCCUGUCCCGACGACGAUGCCCAGUGGAGCUACUCAACGAAAGCUUGACUGGCAAAUGAGUACACGUUUGCAGGACCCUUCAAGCUGAAUUUUUUUUAUUUAUUUGGUUUUAUUGGUUUACAUGAGUCUUUACACCAUGCUUACUAUUAAUAAAACAUGUCAAAAUGGUGAACGUUUGAUAAAACUGUGACUGUGCUGGAAUAAGCAAUGGCUGAUCUAAAUGGGUCUUUGGUGAACGUUUCUACACCUUCCUUCUCAACAGCAAAACAAAAGAAUGAGCUUAGAGAAAAAGUGUUAUAGUUAUCUAUAUCGUAGGUAAAAAUGGCUAGUAACAACAAGUGCCUAUGUUAUGUCAUUUGCAUGUUUAAUGUCUUUGAAGAAGGGUCACUACAUUGUUUUAUUGGAGUUUUAUGAUGAUGGAAAGAAGGUCUUUGACUCUCGAAUCCUGCUCCUUCAUGCGAGAGUGCAGCCUAGUGAGGUUGGGGAGCCCAUUACCAAGUGUCACGCAUUCUGUUACAAGUUGCAGUUGCUUUCAAGCAGUUACAUAUCCGGUCUUCAUUUGGUAUGCACCUACAUUCUUUCUUUUUUUAGACUCAGCAGUACAACUUUCGUAUCUAUCAUGUGAAGGCUGGAUACUCAUUGCUUUUAUGUUAACAUUGCACACACUCUUCGUUUGCUCAGUAAAUUUUUCUUUUUCUAGUUCCGGCGGAUUGGAACAUUCAAUGCAUGCCACCAAGUGGAAGUGAAGAAGUAUGUGUCGCCCCUCAAACCAGAGGAAAAGUCAGAAACGGUGCAGUGCCCACGCACGGACUCAUGGUGGCCAUCCAGGAAGAGAUGCACUGGUGUAGAUUCUGUCCAUAUCGGUCUUCAAGUGCCUAUGAUCUCAAAGAGCACCUAGAAAUACACACUAGAAAUCGUCGAUUCCGAUGCACUGUAUGUGGUGACGGCUUCCAUCGCAAGCAGCACUUGCGUGCACAUAUGACAAGGCAUACCGGAGAAAGACCUUUCCUGUGCACACUAUGCAAUGCUACAUUUGCACUGAAGCACCAUCUUGAACGACACAGGCGAAAUCGGGCUUGUUGCUCUACUGUGUGAUGUUUUAUUCAGUGUGUUUUUCUAGGAGCACCAGAACUGCGAGGAGGAGUGACUACAGCUGUAUUGUAAACAAAUAGCAUAAUUGUCUGCUGUAUUGUAGUGUCGGUUGUAAUGUUUCCUAGCAGUGUCCGCUGAUUUUAGAGUCUUACCUGUGUGCAAAGAAACAAAUGCUCAGGUCAAAUGCGUCUCAUCUAAUCCUGGUCAGAUCAAACAAUGUUCGAAUGGGCACUGGGCAAAUUGCACAUACCUUACCUCAUCUUAUGUUGUCUUUUGCCACUUGUCUGAUAGCUACAUGCUUGUUGGUUUUACAGGUUGUUCAUAAGCUCAUCAGAUGCAAAAAAUAAAAUAAAAAAUCAGUGUCUGAACUUGGAACUUGCAGAGAUUUUAUGCAGUUUCUGAGAUUCAAUCCUUGCUGUUAUAAUACAAGACUUGCCAAUGGCAACAGCCACCUUAAAUACUUCAACGUAAACAUGUGCAUGCGGAUAGGUCCCUUGGGGACCUGCCCACAGCACUUCGGGGCUUGGUGACCUGUCCUGUAGGCUCCCCGAGCUACAGCAGAUGACACUUCGGUCAGGAUGUAUUGAAGAAAUUAGGGUUGUUCUGGUCCUUGUGUUUUCCAGUGAGGUAGGAUGUGUUGUGUUUGCCAGGUUUUGAGUUCCGUAUUUUUUUAUGAUUUUGUGUGUACGUGUGCGUGUGUUUUGUUAUGUAUAACAGUGUUGGUUUUCUAGCACAUCUUCGUUUGAACUAAAAACAAAAAGAAUGCUGGUAAUUACCUUUAGGCUGAUGAAAUGUGGGAUUGUUUUGUGUCUGGCAGUGAUUACAAAUAAACAUUCCGAUUUUUGUAGCCCAUUUUGUUGUUCGUUGUUAAAUUCUGUGAGUGCUCUUACUCAGUCAGUUACUUGGUCACGUUUGUUCCAUGCACUAUGUUGCCUUGAAUUGUGUUCUAAGUUUUCAGGACCCCUGCAAAUCUGUGUGUAUAGAUUGUCAUAUUUUGCAUGGCCUGUGUACUAGAUAGUAACAUAACAAUAUUACGGGCACUACUGUAAUGAAGUAAAUGUAUGCAUUUCUAUUGACAUCUGUUGGUAUCUAGUUUAUAUAACUAAAAUAGGAAAUUGUGCCUGUGCUUACAUACACUGAGAUCUUGCAAUUCAAAGGAACUAAAGUAAUAUUAUUGUGACUCUAAACUUAUCUGAUCAGAACUACCUUGCUAUAAUACAUAUGCCUAUGUUAUCAAUUACAUUAAUAAUACCAUUUUUUCUUACAAACAAACAAACAAAUACCAUUGAUUGCAUCAGAAAAGGAUCCGAUUUUCGUGGCUGCCUACAAAAACUAUUUAUCAUAACUUUAUUUCUGGUGCUUGCCAUUUGUGUACAAUGUCUACAACACAUGAGAUUUGAUAUCUGUGACAGAAAACUCCAUCUCCACUUUCUAUUCCCCAGAUACUCUCAUUUUUGCCCUAAGUCUUAUGCUCUUCUAUUUCUUAUUCUUUUGUCCUUAGGUGUUAUUCUCCCUCACCUUUAGUUUUGUUUGGCAUGUUAGAGCAGCAGUGCUCUUGACUGUUUGAAAUUGAAGCAGGCAGCACAUGGAACGACCUGCAGAAUUUCCUAGAGGAGCGUUUGGUGUCAGUCGGCACAGAUGCUGGAGCACAUGGGGCAU
Ornithodoros turicata is the source of this 14665-nucleotide long non-coding RNA. RefSeq lists it as uncharacterized. The transcript has 9 exons. The record is from RefSeq and is a predicted model, not a curated record. NCBI's taxonomy places the organism in Eukaryota, Metazoa, Arthropoda, Arachnida, Ixodida, Argasidae.